This 489-nucleotide ribosomal RNA is filed under the name uncultured bacterium. RNAcentral describes it as "partial 16S ribosomal RNA". It matches the Rfam family "Bacterial small subunit ribosomal RNA", at positions 29 to 507 of the family's 1533-position model. The record is from RNAcentral.
AUGAACGCUAGCGAUAGGCUUAACACAUGCCAGUCGAGGGGCAGCAUGGUCUUAGCUUGCUAAGGCUGAUGGCGACCGGCGCACGGGUGCGUAACGCGUAUGCAACUUGCCUCACAGAGGGGGAUAGCCCGUCGAAAGACGGACUAAUACCGCGUACACUCUAUGUUGGGCAUCCAAUGUAGAGGAAAUGAAAUUCGCUGUGAGAUAGGCAUGCGUCCCAUUAGCUAGUUGGUGAGGUAACGGCUCACCAAGGCGACGAUGGGUAGGGGAACUGAGAGGUUGAACCCCCACACUGGUACUGAGACACGGACCAGACUCCUACGGGAGGCAGCAGUGAGGAAUAUUGGUCAAUGGGCGAGAGCCUGAACCAGCCAAGUCGCGUGAAGGAUGACUGUCUUAUGGAUUGUAAACUUCUUUUAUACGGGAAUAACAAGAGUCACGUGUGGCUCCCUGCAUGUACCGUAUGAAUAAGCAUCGGCUAACUCCGUG